Molecule: long non-coding RNA, 7769 nt
Filed under: Lathyrus oleraceus (garden pea)
Lineage: Eukaryota; Viridiplantae; Streptophyta; Magnoliopsida; Fabales; Fabaceae
Description: Pisum sativum (pea) long non-coding RNA (PSAT_LNC000315)
Source: RNAcentral
UCAAUUUUGUUCCUUUUUCCAAUUACUACCUAUGAUUUUCAACUCCAGAUCUCUCUGAAUCUGAGAUCCUCUCCCUUCCACUCAGACGUUUUUUCUUUCAUGUUUUCUCUCUGAAUCUGAGAUCCUCUCCCUUCCACUCAGACAUUUUUUUCUUUCAUGUUUUUAUUAACUAGUAUAUCCAUGUCAUAUAUUUUUUUUUAAUGUUAAAUCUUAAAAUGCAAAUUUUAAAAAAUGUGGCCAAGAGGAGUUAAACCUAUGACAAUUGGAUUAAAGUGGCAAUACUUGACUACUGGACCAACCAACACAUUUGAUUAAUUUAUUACAACAAAUAUAUGUAUUAAAUAAAUGAUUCUAGAAUUACCUGAAUAUUUUAUUAAAUAGUUUAAUUAUUUCACAUCAUUAAAUAUUUUAAUUAGUAUUUCAACUAUGUUAAAUAAUUAGUUUAUUAAAUAUUUCAACUAUUUAAUACUUCAAAAACCAACAUGAAGAUGAAGCUUUAAUGGAAGAUGAUGGUGAAGAUUGUGAGAGAAAGAGUAAAUAAUAAAGUUAUAUAAUCAAACUACCAAAAAUAAUUGUGGUUUAAAAUAGUGGUGCACUAAAUAAUUAUAUAUGAAUACCUCAUAAACAAACUCAUAUGAUUUAUUGAUCUCAAAAAGUUCUAGGUUUGUGUGAAGGUUGGGCAUGAAGAUAUUAAUUCAAACUAUUAUAACUGACAAGAGAUAGAGUACAUAGGAACUUAGUUGGUUUCAACUGACAAGCAAUUUAGCAUUUAAGAGUAUAUGGGAUAUUACAGAUUCAUUAAUGUCAUUCUAGAUAAUGGACUAAUUCAAUUUAAGGAUAAGGAAAUGUCAUUAUCAAAAGUGUUUAUAUUUUUCUCUAAGAAGUGGGUGUUUCAAGAAUCAAGUAGUAGGAAAAUUACAAAGAGCUAUAAGUAGUUGAGUCAAGAGUAAUUAUAGUGUCUGUUUAUUGAACCAGACUCAUUGCGGGUCCGUUUAAUAAUAAAGUUACAUAAUCAAACUACCAAAAAUAAUCAUGGUUUGAAAUAGUGGAGCACUAAAUAAACAUACAUGAAUACCUCAUAAACAAACUCAUAUGAUUUAUUGAUCUAAAAAAGUUCUAGGUUUGUAUGAAGAUUGGGCAUGAAGAUAUUAAUUCAGACAAUGGUUUGAAAUAGUGGAGCACUAAAUAAACAUACAUGAAUACCUCAUAAACAAACUCAUAUGAUUUAUUGAUCUAAAAAAGUUCUAGGUUUGUAUGAAGAUUGGGCAUGAAGAUAUUAAUUCAGACUAUUAUAACUGACAAGAGAUAGGGCACAUAGGAAUAUAGUUGGUUUCAAAUGACAAGCAAUUAAGCAUUUAAGAGUAUAUGGGAUAUUACAGAUUCAUUAAUGUCAUUCUAGAAGUACUCUUCAUUUUUAAACGGACCCGCAGUGAGUCUGGUUCAAUAAAGACACAAACUAAUAAAAUGGUCUAAUGAAGAAAUUUUAGAUUAAAACCAACAUGAAAAUAAAAAGAUAGAAAUAUAAAAAAUUGUCAAUUAUGAAAGAUGUAAAUCUCUUAUUGAUAUAUGUGAUUGUUCUAUGGUACUAUGCUUUGACGCGUACUUCCUUAAUGGAAGUAUAUCUCAUUUUUCUUCUCUCUCUCAGUCUGCAAUGAUGCUUGCAAGAAACCAAGAAAAUGUCAUAAGCAAAAAAACAAACAAAAUGUCCAAUUCCAACAACUAAUAAAUAAUGAUAAUAUCCAAUUACAUUUUAACUCAAAUGCCUGCACCCCAUUAAAAGAUGUUCAUUUUUCAUAUCAAAAGAAUAGAUGAAAACUUGUGAUUCAUUAGCAGAUGAUAAAAUGUUCAAAGGAAAGACAAAACUCAAGAUUCCAUUACCUUCAAAUUUUUACCAAUGGCGAGGGUAAUAUGCAUAACAGUGAAAUCUAAUUUCACAAUAAAAUCAAGCAUUUAACAUUGAAACUUAUUAUAGGAAGAUGAUAGAAUAUGUAAUCUAAAAUACAUUUAUUUCAAAAGAACUUCUGAUUGUUUUUUAUUUGUUAAUAUUUUACUUUUGUUGGUGUUUUCUUAUGUUGAACAACAACGCAUAAAUGUAAUUUUAUUAGUUUGAUCGAGAGGUACUUUUGAUUGUUUUUUAUUUGUUAAUANACAUACAUAAAUUUAUAUACACUUACAUGGUGGUUUUAUGUAAUCUAUUACCACUAUGAGGGGAAUAAGAUUUUGGAGAGUUUUGCCAAAUUUUGGCCUGUAAUAUGAGAGAAAAUAUCAUUUCCACCAAUUUUUCUCCGCACCUAAAAAUAAUGAUCCUUAAGUAGUUACGACAUCUGUAUCAGUAAAAAUAACAAAUAUUUGUUAAUGUCUUUGAUUAAAAAAAAUAUUUUGAAAAAUUCACAUUAAUAUAUUAUGUCAAAAGAAGAUGUGAACAAUAACGCUUUUUGUUUUUAACCAUAGUGAAGGCUUGAAGUCUCGUUAAACAUCUUUUAAAUUGAACACUUCGGUGGUGUAGGGUCGCACAGUGAGUUAUUAGCUUUCGCAGGUAGCGCAAGCCCUACUUAUUAUUGAAAUAAUAUUAAAAUCAAGUGGCACAUGGCAGCCACAAAUAGCAAAGUUCAACUCCUUUCGUGAUAUUCUUGGCCUUCAAGAGAUUUUAAGGCCGGCAAAAAUGUCAAUCCAUAUGCUUGAGCUACAAAUAAAGGAGUUAUCGAAGUAAUAUAUUCUAAUAAAAAUACGUAAUAAAUACAAAUAUCAAAUCAUCUUCAACUCAUUUUCAUGCAUGUAAAGGUUAUGGAUCAUGUAUGUAAUAUUGACAUUUCUAAUUUCCUCUGCCCAGGUAAAAAUAAUACAAUAAAACUAAAAUAAUAAUUUAGCCUAUGAAAUCUUAUGCAAGCGUCCAUUUGACAAACGUCCUGAGUGAUGUUAAAAUAGUGAUCCAUAAGGACUAUUGCUAAGGCAUAGGUUGGGUGAAGAUGUUGCUUCAUUUCCCUGAGUGUCCGCUUAUUGAAUCACCAAAAUUAAAUAUAGCUUCGUAGGAAGAGGAUUGCAUUUGAAAGUACAUUCGAAUAUAAAAGUGAGGCUAAAGAGAAUUAAGAACUUCAUGUUAUUAUUUAAAAUCAUGAGACAUGUGUUGAACAUAUGUGAAUGAUGGUAGAUUGAAUUUAUAUAAUAUUAUCUACAAGCCCACUAAUCUUGUCAUACAUCUUUUGAUCUUACACAUUAGCGAAUAUUUUCGCAAACAUAAACACUUUAAGUACAUAUUUGUUAUUUUAUCAUAUUCUGCACCGUUUGCUUUUGUGUAUAUAAUGACUAUCAACACACUUACAUAACACCCUAUAAAAGAACCAUACAUUAAAUCAAUGUUGUAUCGGCUGGUUUUUAUAUAGAAUAGUUGAUGAACCACCUUUAUUCCCCAACAAACCAAUGUUGGAGUUUUAUUAAUUUGUUAUGAAUAAAAUUGUACAUUAUAUUAUUUCUUAACGUACAGAAUGGAAUUAUACAUAUAUUGACAUCAUAUUUAUUCACUUAAACCAAAUUAUAAUUGUUAGAUUUUAAUUAAUCAUGCAGUUUUGUUAUAUCUCGAAUAAACAGUUAAAUGAGUAUCUGAAAAAUGAAACAAGUACAUAUCAAGUAGUUAAUUUAUGGUACUGUCCAAACAUAAGGCUAAUCCGCAUCAAAAUUAUCUAUACUAUUGUCCAAACUAAAACAUCCAUUGGAACAUGUAUACCAAAAGCCUAAACAUAUAAAAAUCUGAAAGAACAUGUACGAAACUCAUCCUAUCAUUGCACAAACUCCACACGGAAGAUCAUAAUGAACAGCAACCCUUGAAACAUCCAUAACAGCCUUCUCUUAGUUUCAACCUGCAAAGACAUACCUGAAAAAUACAACAAUGAUGGGGUAUAGAUAGUAAUCUCAGUGAAGUUCUCACAUCUACUGGGUACACCUGCGGCUCGAACAGGCUAAUUCUAUUCACAAUGUUUCAACUCAUACCAACUCAAGUCAAAAAGGGAACGAAGACUUGAGCGAUGGGGAAACUAUCCGCAAUGUAUGCAUAACGAUGGCAGUCUGGAGUUCAUCAUAACCAACACUGAUCAGUUGCUUAUCUCAGAUUAACGAAACAUCAAUUCCCUGAUCGGACUACGUCUAAGCCAGCCCGUUCAUGCAUGCUCGUAAUAUUGACUUUCGCGGGAUAUCAGGUUCCCUCUAUGGAAUCUAACCUCACUUUAAGAACGCAUCGAGCGGCCAUAUGGGACACUAACCCAACAUAGGGUAUCUUUCAAUGUAUGGGACUACAACCCACAUAAGGGUCCACCUUUCCCCACAUGUCCGCCCAUGGUUUGGGGCUAAACCCAUGAGGCUCUAAAACAGCGAUCACCUUUGGUCCUUUACACCAAUGCUUACUCAUCUAAUGCAUAUCGCACAAGAGAUGCGUGUACCACAUAGAAAAAACACACCAAUUCUGAAUACAUGACGGUUCCAUAUCAUUGUUCCCUUCCACGAACCAUAACAAAUUCCAUCAAUCAUAGGUACUUCAUUCACUGCAUAAUACACAAAUAAUAACAUGGCAGUUCCAUAAUCAUCAGGUGUCUGUCAUUCACCAUGAUACACAAAUAAUAACAUGCAUUGUUCCAUAAUCGUCUCAUUUCUCUAACAUGGCAACAACAUUCGUCCACGCCUCACCCCAUAAGCGUCAGUAUGAAAGAAUACUCGUAUUCUCAUACAUAUUAUCACAUAAUGUUCCAUACCUAGAUCAUAUUUCAUAGUUAAAUCAAAUUAAUUCUUCUAGGAUUUCCUCACUCAUCUUGUAAGGUUUUUAAUCAUGUUAUUAUCACCUUCCACAAUAACACACAAUAUUUAAUUUUCAUCAUGAUAAAUUCAUAGCAUUUAAUAAAUCACAUAACUAUUUUAUAACAGGAACAAAUAUAUAGUCAUUUAUGGUACUUAGUCAUUGUUAUUUUGCAUCAUUCAAGCCAUACACCAAGUAUGUUUAACAACCGCAUACAUAAAUUAUAAGUUCAGUUAAUGUAAACACAUAAUAAAAUCAUAUGAUAUAAUCAAUAAUAGCCUUAUUAUCUUACUAAUGCAAUACCGUAGUUCCGUCCGCCCCAUCCAAAAGCGGAGUUAUAUAGCUCAUUAAUUCAGGCCUUAAUCACCUAACGAUAGAUUAGAUUAAUAUGUAUUCUAUGUGCAUGAAGCAUUUAAACAACAACCUCUCUAGCCUAAGCUGACGUAAGGCAGACGAAUGUUCAGAGUGAGUCCCUGCGUUUGAAUGCCGUUGGUGACAGAUUCCUGUAAAACAGGUAAAUUACAAAUCUGUUUCACGGCUUAACGCGAUUAACCAUGUAACGAACAUGAUUUUCCAGCAACAACAACAUGAUAUUCACACUAUCUAGCACGAUAGGCGAGUAUGAUUUUCCACAGACAGAAUCAACGAUGAUACAACACAUAAGCACGUGAUUAGGUAAUGUUUGCUCUCUUUAUUAAAUAAUCAAUCCCUUCAGAGUUUCACCAUUUUACUCUUAUUGGUCCUCAAUUGGACAACAUUUAGAUGCACAUACGGAGCUUCAAUUUGUUAGCAUCCUUAACCAAUCAUAUAUACAUAGCGAAUUCAAUAGGUUCAACUGUACAACUAGAUUGGACAUUUAAGGGAAUAUGGGAUAUUACAAUCUCAUCCUUAAAAGUCAAUGGGACAAACUAUCCUCACUUUCUCUUUGAUUAUUGACUAUCAAAAUAAAAAAAUAAAACGAUUUCAGUAUUAUUGUGUAAUUCUUGAGCAACUAAAUAUCAUACAUACUACAAACAACACAACUCUUAUAAUUCAAAAUGAAAAUUAAUUCAUAAAAUUACUGUGUAACUCUUAGCAAUGAAAAUUCAUUAUAAAAAAAUAAAAUAUCAUUUAACAUAUAAAAUGAAGGAGAGAAAGAUCCUAAAACUAAUAUAAGAUCUUAAUCAUAGUCUCAAACUCAAGCUAUAAUAAGGAAGCAACAUGUUCAGGCCAAACUAAGAUACAUAUGCUACAGAAACUCAAAGUGAAAACGAGAAUACAUGAGUGCAACUGCAACAAACCAAAGCAAUCUAACUCAUAGGUUCCAAAAUUAAACAUAAGGAGAGCCACAAAAUCAGAAAUGUGAAGCGCCAAUAAGAACUUUGCAAAAUAUGGCCCAACAACUUAAAAACUGAAACAAGUCAAACAAAACACCGAACAACAAGUGAAAUAUAUUAACAAAUAAAAAACAAUCAAAAAACGUUUGUAUGAAGAACCGCAAAAAUACGGUGGGUAGUUUUUUUUUUAAUAUUUAACUUAUUAUACAUAUAGCAAUAAUGAUUGUUAAUUAAGUUGUUCAUUUAUAUAUUAAUAAUUGUUUUUCUACCAAUUUUAUUUAUAUAUACAUGUACAAUAUUUAAUUCAAGUACAUCUUUUUAUGUAGGUUUUGAUAAGGAUGAGACAUUCAAAGCAUGUUGUGGAGGCGGUGGGCCACAUAAUUUUGAUCCAAGAAUGGGGUGUGGAAGUCCUAUAACAACUGUUUGCUCUGAUCCUUCUAAAAAUAUAAACUGGGAUGGAGUUCAUUUUACAGAAGCAGCAUAUAAGCUAUUAGCAAAAGGAUUAGUUGAAGGACCUUUUGCAUAUCCCUCACUUAAACCAGCUCCUUUUCAAAUAGUCUAAAAGCAUUCAAGAUAGUUUCGUACGAGGAAUUAAGAAAUACGUAUCUCACAAUUUAUGUAGCUCUCGGCGGGAUUAGUUAUAUAUUCCUUAAAGUUAAUGUCAUUCUUUUUAAAAUUUAAUUUAUAAAUGCCAUUGGUAUAAAUUGUUUUUAUACAAUCAGCCAAUUAUAAAUACUAAAUAAUUAUAUAUUGAAUUAUCUUUAAAUUAUAUUUAUGAAUAAGUGUGAUAUACAGAUAAUAUAAAACUUUUUUUAUUAUCAGUUCAUAUCAAUUAAACUCAUCUUUUAAAUUAGUAUUAAAAAGCUAAUAUAUAUAUAUCAUUAUAAAAGUAAAUAAUAGAGAUAGAAAGACCACAUCAAGAAUUUAGACCAAUUUAGACUUAAACAUGCAGCCUAAUCCAAUCCGCAAGAGUUUCGUCUUGAUAUUUCCACUAAAAUGGAUUGAGCUUUUAAACUAGAAUUAGCCCAACAACCUUCCUUACUAAAACCUUUUUACUACUAGAUUUAUCUUGAAAGCUCAAAGUCAACUGUAAUGAUACAAGAUCACGACACUCUUGAAUCAUUAUUUCAACACAACAACAGAAUUACAUAACUCUCAAUAUAAACAUUUCACUCUUUCAACUAUGAACUAAUUAAUAGUGUAUAAAAACGACAAUGGGAAGAGAGUGAUUGAGUGAGAAAGGAGUUUAAUUUUUUUUACCAGAGAUAAGAUAUAACACACAAUAUUGAUGCAUUGUGUGAGACAAGAUGGUCUGAAUUAAUGGAUGAACAAUUAAAUAAUGUAAUAAAUAAAAGACACAUAAUUACUAACCUAAUUCAGUACAACUAUCAACUACGUCUAAGGGGAAGUAGUUCAACUGAAAGAAAAUUCACUAAUAUAAGUAGUCAAUAGUACAUAAUGACUAAACAAACCUCAAUUUUGUUCCUUUUUCCAAUUACUACCUAUGAUUUUCAACUCCAGAUCUCUCUGAAUCUGAGAUCCUCUCCCUUCCACUCAGACGUUUUUUCUUUCAUGUUUUCUCUCUGAAUCUGAGAUCCUCUCCCUUCCACUCAGACAUUUUUUUCUUUCAUGUUUUUAUUAACUAGUAUAUCCAUGUCAUAUAUUUUUUUUUA